GCAUAUUUUACCCUCCAGACAUGUCAGAGUCCAUUGUUCCCCCCGAAGUGAGACCCAAACUGCUGUCCCUGCCAAGCCCCCUCAUGUCGCAGAGCCAUCCCCCACAGCACCCCAUGGACCAUCAGGGCUAGGUGGCGGGGUCGGGGUUGAUCGAGUUCCAGGGUGGGACACACGGGCAGUGGAUCCACGUUGCUGGGAUACAUUGGGAUUGACACCAUCAUCGAGCAGAUGAGGAAGAAGACCAUGAAGGCUGGUUUCGACUUCAAUAUUAUGAUAGGGGUCACAGCGGGCUGGGGAAGUCAACGCUGGUGAACACGCUGUUCAAGUCCCAGGUCAGCAGGUGGAGCUCAGGAUGGGGCGGCGAGCAUAAGAUCCCCAAGACAGUGGAGAUCAAGGCAGUGUCCCACGUGAUCGAGGAGGGCGGAGUGAAGAUGAAGUUGACAGUAAUCGACACACCAGGUUUUGGUGAUCAGAUCAACAAUGAAAACUGGUGAG
This is a non-coding RNA of Salvelinus sp. IW2-2015, 495 nucleotides long. Lineage: Eukaryota; Metazoa; Chordata; Actinopteri; Salmoniformes; Salmonidae. The record is from RefSeq and is a predicted model, not a curated record.